GUGCCAGCAGCCGCGGUAAUACGUAGGGUGCAAGCGUUAAUCGGAAUUACUGGGCGUAAAGCGUGCGCAGGCGGUUUUGUAAGUCUGACGUGAAAUCCCCGGGCUCAACCUGGGAAUUGCGUUGGAGACUGCAAGGCUAGAAUCUGGCAGAGGGGGGUAGAAUUCCACGUGUAGCAGUGAAAUGCGUAGAGAUGUGGAGGAACACCGAUGGCGAAGGCAGCCCCCUGGGUCAAGAUUGACGCUCAUGCACGAAAGCGUGGGGAGCAAACAGGAUUAGAUACCCUGGUAGUCCACGCCCUAAACGAUGUCUACUAGUUGUCGGGUCUUAAUUGACUUGGUAACGCAGCUAACGCGUGAAGUAGACCGCCUGGGGAGUACGGUCGCAAGAUUAAAACUUAAAUGAAUUGACGGGG
RNAcentral lists this ribosomal RNA (413 nucleotides) under uncultured prokaryote. RNAcentral's name for it is "bacterial SSU rRNA". It matches the Rfam family "Bacterial small subunit ribosomal RNA", at positions 505 to 918 of the family's 1533-position model. The record is from RNAcentral.